UCCGGGGACGAGACGUGCACAGUUGUGUGUACGACCUUCUGGUGAAAAAGUGGUGCUGCGCUUCCCGAUCCCAGAAGUUGGCAGGCAUCCUCUGGUGUAAUGCAGAGCGAUCCGGAGUCCGGGCGAUAGGCAAGACUUGGCCGAUCUUCUCGCGGACAAUUUAAUGUUACAAUUGGGAGCCUUCGCGGUGGCCCGAGCGCCGAGAGAAAGCGGUUCUCGUGGCGAGGCCUCCACCUUCCCGUCUGAUGAGUUCCACUUACAACUUUGCGAUGUUCGCUGUCAAAGGGGAGCCUAGAGGAGGUCAGGGUGGGGGUACCAGUUCAACAGAAUGCUACCGAUGAAGAAAUUGCUUGUGGUGGUUAGGUUGGGGCUCUGGCGUGACUUUGUUUGAGGAAAUUACGGUCCUUAAUAGGAAAGAGCACAUCCUUCCACGCUGGCUGGAAUGCGGAUGAGGUGGCUAGAACUUGAACAACAUCUUGGACCACAGGGAGGCCCAGCAGUGCAACAAGCUUGGUGAAGGCUGGACACUAGCCACUUGUGGAACUACCCCAUCACCCUGGGUUGGUGAAAUAAAGGAGAAAUUAAAUGUCUAACUUAACACAG
Molecule: long non-coding RNA, 603 nt
Organism: Heterocephalus glaber (naked mole-rat)
Lineage: Eukaryota; Metazoa; Chordata; Mammalia; Rodentia; Bathyergidae
Source: RefSeq, a predicted model, not a curated record